GCGGUGGAUGAUGUGGUUUAAUUCGAUGCAACGCGAAAACCUUACCCACCUUUGACAUGGCAGGAAUCCUGAAGAGAUUUGGGAGUGCUCGAAAGAGAACCUGCACACAGGUGCUGCAUGGCUGUCGUCAGCUCGUGUCGUGAGAUGUUGGGUUAAGUCCCGCAACGAGCGCAACCCUUGCCAUUAGUUGCUACGAAAGGGCACUCUAAUGGGACUGCCGGUGACAAACCGGAGGAAGGUGGGGGAUGACGUCAAGUCCUCAUGGCCCUUAUAGGUGGGGCUACACACGUCAUACAAUGGCCGGUACAGAGGGUAGCCAACCCGCAGGGGGAGCCAAUCCCACAAAGCCGGUCGUAGUCCGGAUCGCAGUCUGCAACUCGACUGCGUGAAGUCGGAAUCGCUAGUAAUCGCGGAUCAGCAUGUCGCGGUGAAUACGUUCCCGGGUCUU
Molecule: ribosomal RNA, 448 nt
Filed under: uncultured Allobrachymonas sp.
Lineage: Bacteria; Pseudomonadati; Pseudomonadota; Betaproteobacteria; Burkholderiales; Comamonadaceae
Description: bacterial SSU rRNA
Rfam family: Bacterial small subunit ribosomal RNA
Source: RNAcentral